This 760-nucleotide ribosomal RNA is filed under the name uncultured Prevotella sp. RNAcentral's name for it is "bacterial SSU rRNA". It matches the Rfam family "Bacterial small subunit ribosomal RNA", at positions 28 to 776 of the family's 1533-position model. Lineage: Bacteria; Pseudomonadati; Bacteroidota; Bacteroidia; Bacteroidales; Prevotellaceae. The record is from RNAcentral.
GAUGAACGCUAGCUACAGGCUUAACACAUGCAAGUCGAGGGGAAACGGCAUUGAGUGCUUGCACUCUUUGGACGUCGACCGGCGCACGGGUGAGUAACGCGUAUCCAACCUUCCCAUUACUGUGGGAUAACCUGCCGAAAGGCAGACUAAUACCGCAUAGUCUUCGAUGACGGCAUCAGAUUUGAAGUAAAGAUUUAUCGGUAAUGGAUGGGGAUGCGUCUGAUUAGCUUGUUGGCGGGGUAACGGCCCACCAAGGCGACGAUCAGUAGGGGUUCUGAGAGGAAGGUCCCCCACAUUGGAACUGAGACACGGUCCAAACUCCUACGGGAGGCAGCAGUGAGGAAUAUUGGUCAAUGGACGGAAGUCUGAACCAGCCAAGUAGCGUGCAGGAUGACGGCCCUCCGGGUUGUAAACUGCUUUUAGUUGGGAAUAAAAAAAGGGACGUGUCCCUUAUUGUAUGUACCUUCAGAAAAAGGACCGGCUAAUUCCGUGCCAGCAGCCGCGGUAAUACGGAAGGUCCAGGCGUUAUCCGGAUUUAUUGGGUUUAAAGGGAGCGUAGGCGGAUUGUUAAGUCAGCGGUUAAAGGGUGUGGCUCAACCAUACAUUGCCGUUGAAACUGGCGAUCUUGAGUGCAGACAGGGAUGCCGGAAUUCGUGGUGUAGCGGUGAAAUGCUUAGAUAUCACGAAGAACUCCGAUCGCGAAGGCAGGUGUCCGGGCUGCAACUGACGCUGAGGCUCGAAAGUGUGGGUAUCAAACAGG